RNAcentral lists this ribosomal RNA (408 nucleotides) under uncultured Methylomirabilota bacterium. RNAcentral's name for it is "bacterial SSU rRNA". It matches the Rfam family "Bacterial small subunit ribosomal RNA", at positions 1027 to 1434 of the family's 1533-position model. The record is from RNAcentral. Lineage: Bacteria; Methylomirabilota (SeqCode).
CGUGGAGACAGGUGGUGCAUGGCUGUCGUCAGCUCGUGUCGUGAGAUGUUGGGUUAAGUCCCGCAACGAGCGCAACCCUCACCUCUUGUUGCCAUCAGGUCAUGCUGGGCACUCUAGAGGAACUGCCCCGGUCAACGGGGAGGAAGGCGGGGAUGACGUCAAGUCAUCAUGCCCCUUACGUCCUGGGCUACACGCGUGCUACAAUGGCCGGUACAAAGGGAUGCCACACCGCGAGGUAGAGCUAAACCCAAAAAGCCGGUCUAAGUUCAGAUUGGAGUCUGCAACUCGACUCCAUGAAGGAGGAAUCGCUAGUAAUCGCGUAUCAGCACGACGCGGUGAAUACGUUCCCGGGCCUUGUACACACCGCCCGUCACACCACGAAAGCCUGCUGUACUCGAAGUCGCUGAG